Molecule: long non-coding RNA, 1217 nt
Organism: Daucus carota subsp. sativus
Lineage: Eukaryota; Viridiplantae; Streptophyta; Magnoliopsida; Apiales; Apiaceae
Exons: 4
Source: RefSeq, a predicted model, not a curated record
UUAAACAACCAGAGUCAGCGGCGGGGAGAUAAUUGGGGGUUUAGGGUUCGUGUGUGUUUUUCAAAUCAACCGAUCCAGCCGCCAUUUCAGGUGAGAUAUAGUACUUAUAUAUGUAUGUAUGUGUAUCGUAUAUGCCAGCUUGUGUGGUGAUUUUGUUUAAAUCGAUGGUGGCUGGGGCUUGGGUUGCUGAUUGGUGGCCGUGGUGGCGUGGCCACCGGAGACUGGUUGGUCGCAGGGUUGUACAGAUGCUGGGAUGUUGUACACUUGAGCAAUUGAAGUAUUUCUGCAAGCACACCAAGAAUCAUCGCACUGGAGCCAAAGAUCGGGUUCUGUAUCUCAUUUAUCUCGCGAUUUGCAAGCAGCUCGAUCCCAAAGGCCCCUUUCAUCGUUAAGAAAUCAAUAUCGCAAUGGCAGUCUUAUUAAGUAUGUGGGUGCUGCGGUGCUGUUGAGUUGAAGCAGCAUAGAUAAAUGACGACAAGCUGCAAUUGUAGGCGGGAGAGAUUGAUUUUAAACCCCUGUGACAGAGGUCAUAACCGCGGGAGUUGGUGGUAAAAUCGAGCAGCGGAAGAGGAAACAAACAGAGGUUGAUGAUGAAGUGAAUGCAUUAGCACAACUGAUGACUUGGAAAAUGGCAGUAGCUAACAUACCUUAUGGUGGAGCUAAAGGAGAGAUAGGAUGCAAUCCAGGGGAGUUGAGUAUUUCUGAGCUAGAACGACUUACUAUUUGCAAGGUUAUGCUUAUUGCUUUUUUUCAUAAUUUAUUGUUGUUUCUGUCGAAAGACUUGUCUGUGCAAUCUUUUUGUCCCGUUCUUAUUAUCUAUUAUGAUUGUCCCGUUCUUAUUAUCUAUUAUGUCUGAUGCCAGGAACUGUCAAUGGAACUGUGGGUGUCAACAAGAUGGCUAUAGUUGAUUCACUUGCAAACCAAGAUGUGGAGAUCUCUCUUUUGGACCUCAACCCCAAAACAAGAUAUAAUUUGCAUGAAAAACUUGUUGAGCCACUAUCUCCUGCAGAACCACCAAAGGCUGAAGAACGUGCACAAGUCAUUAUAGAUAAUGUAUAUGAAAUUAUUAUAUACUAGGAUUUGCACAAAUGACAGGAAUUUUUUUUUAUUUUUCAUUCUUUGUUUUCUUAUGUAAUUUUACUAACUUGUAAUAAAGGAAAUCUUAUAUGUGAUUUUUGGUCUGAUAUGAUUUGUUAAUGGUAUAUUUAAAUUUUCAA